CCUACGGGAGGCAGCAGUGGGGAAUUUUGGACAAUGGGCGAAAGCCUGAUCCAGCAAUGCCGCGUGAGUGAAGAAGGCCUUCGGGUUGUAAAGCUCUUUUGUCAGGGAAGAAACGGUGUGGGCUAAUAUCCCGCACUAAUGACGGUACCUGAAGAAUAAGCACCGGCUAACUACGUGCCAGCAGCCGCGGUAAUACGUAGGGUGCAAGCGUUAAUCGGAAUUACUGGGCGUAAAGCGUGCGCAGGCGGUUUUGUAAGUCUGUCGUGAAAGCCCCGGGCUCAACCUGGGAAUUGCGAUGGAGACUGCAAGGCUUGAAUCUGGCAGAGGGGGGUAGAAUUCCACGUGUAGCAGUGAAAUGCGUAGAGAUGUGGAGGAACACCGAUGGCGAAGGCAGCCCCCUGGGUCAAGAUUGACGCUCAUGCACGAAAGCGUGGGGAGCAAACAGGAUUAGAUACCCUGGUAGUCCACGCCCUAAACGAUGUCUACUAGUUGUCGGGUUUUAAUUAACUUGGUAACGCAGCUAACGCGUGAAGUAGACCGCCUGGGGAUACGGUCGCAAGNUUAAAACUCAAAGGAAUUGACGGCUGAGAGNGCGACGACGACGACGAGGGAGGAGG
RNAcentral lists this ribosomal RNA (617 nucleotides) under uncultured bacterium. RNAcentral describes it as "bacterial SSU rRNA". It matches the Rfam family "Bacterial small subunit ribosomal RNA", at positions 338 to 951 of the family's 1533-position model. The record is from RNAcentral.